GACGAACGCUGGCGGCGUGCUUAACACAUGCAAGUCGAACGGAAAGGCCCUGCUUUUGUGGGGUGCUCGAGUGGCGAACGGGUGAGUAACACGUGAGUAACCUGCCCUUGACUUUGGGAUAACUUCAGGAAACUGGGGCUAAUACCGGAUAGGAGCUCCUGCUGCAUGGUGGGGGUUGGAAAGUUUCGGCGGUUGGGGAUGGACUCGCGGCUUAUCAGCUGGUUGGUGGGGUAGUGGCUUACCAAGGCUUUGACGGGUAGCCGGCCUGGGAGGGUGACCGGCCACAUUGGUACUGAGGUACGGCCCAGACUCCUACGGGCGGCAGCGGUGGGGAAUCUUGCACAAUGGGCGGAAGCCUGAUACAGCAGCGCCGCGUGCGGGAUGACGGCCUUCGGGUUGUAAACCGCUUUCGCCUGUGACGAAGCGUGAGUGACGGUAAUGGGUAAAGAAGCACCGGCUAACUACGUG
This 468-nucleotide ribosomal RNA is filed under the name uncultured bacterium. Its description in RNAcentral is "partial 16S ribosomal RNA". It matches the Rfam family "Bacterial small subunit ribosomal RNA", at positions 28 to 507 of the family's 1533-position model. The record is from RNAcentral.